GCAAGUCGAGGGGUAACAUUUGUGCUUGCACAAGAUGACGACCGGCGCACGGGUGCGCACCGCGUAUGGAACCUGCCUUGUACAGGGGAAUAGCCCAGGGAAACUUGGAUUAAUGCCCCGUAGUACCGUAUUUCGGCAUCGUUAUACGGUUAAAUCCUCGGGCGGUACAAGAUGGCCAUGCGUACCAUUAGCUAGUUGGUAAGGUAACGGCUUACCAAGGCUACGAUGGGUAGGGGGCCUGAGAGGGGAGUC
Molecule: ribosomal RNA, 252 nt
Filed under: uncultured bacterium
Lineage: Bacteria
Description: partial 16S ribosomal RNA
Rfam family: Bacterial small subunit ribosomal RNA
Source: RNAcentral